Molecule: ribosomal RNA, 260 nt
Filed under: uncultured bacterium
Lineage: Bacteria
Description: partial 16S ribosomal RNA
Rfam family: Bacterial small subunit ribosomal RNA
Source: RNAcentral
GACAGAGGAUGCGAGUGUUAUCCGGAAUUAUUGGGCGUAAAGCGUUUGUAGGUGGAAUUCUUAGCCCUUUGUAAAAUUUUUAAGAAAUAAGGUUAACUUGGAGUUAGCAAAGGGUACUAAUUUUCUCGAGCAUGGUUAAGGUUUUGGAAAUUUCCAGUGUAGCAAUGAAAUGCUGAGAUAUUGGAAAGAACACCAUUAGCGAAGGCACUUUUCUAGACUAUGGCUGACACUGAGAAACGAAAGCUAAGGGAACAAACGGG